GCUUUGAUGGCCGAGUCGUUAAGGUGUUGGACUUGAAAUCCAAUGGGGCUUCCCCGGGCAGGUUCAAAGCCUGCUCACAGCU
Non-coding RNA from Oryzias latipes (Japanese medaka), 82 nucleotides. The record is from Rfam. NCBI's taxonomy places the organism in Eukaryota, Metazoa, Chordata, Actinopteri, Beloniformes, Adrianichthyidae.